CAUCGUCCGGAUGCCCGCACUGGUGGCAA
This 29-nucleotide small RNA is filed under the name Bombyx mori (domestic silkworm). Its description in RNAcentral is "ovarian small RNA-13414". The record is from RNAcentral. Lineage: Eukaryota; Metazoa; Arthropoda; Insecta; Lepidoptera; Bombycidae.